ACACAUGCAAGUCGAACGGAGCACCCUUGAUUGAGGUUUCGGCCAAAUGAUAGGAAUGCUUAGUGGCGGACUGGUGAGUAACGCGUGAGGAACCUGCCUUUCAGAGGGGGACAACAGUUGGAAACGACUGCUAAUACCGCAUGACGCAUUUUGAUCGCAUGGUCGAAAUGCCAAAGAUUUAUCGCUGAAAGAUGGCCUCGCGUCUGAUUAGCUAGUUGGUGAGGUAACGGCCCACCAAGGCGACGAUCAGUAGCCGGACUGAGAGGUUGACCGGCCACAUUGGGACUGAGAUACGGCCCAGACUCCUACGGGAGGCAGCAGUGGGGAAUAUUGGGCAAUGGGCGCAAGCCUGACCCAGCAACGCCGCGUGAAGGAAGAAGGCUUUCGGGUUGUAAACUUCUUUUAAGUGGGAAGAGUAGAAGACGGUACCACUUGAAUAAGCCACGGCUAACUACGUGCCAGCAGCCGCGGUAAUACGUAGGUGGCAAGCGUUGUCCGGAUUUACUGGGUGUAAAGGGCGUGCAGCCGGGCAUGCAAGUCAGAUGUGAAAUCUCAGGGCUUAACCCUGAAACUGCAUUUGAAACUGUAUGUCUUGAGUGCCGGAGAGGUAAUCGGAAUUCCUUGUGUAGCGGUGAAAUGCGUAGAUAUAAGGAAGAACACCAGUGGCGAAGGCGGAUUACUGGACGGUAACUGACGGUGAGGCGCGAAAGCGUGGGGAGCGAACAGGAUUAGAUACCCUGGUAGUCCACGCUGUAAACGAUGG
This 763-nucleotide ribosomal RNA is filed under the name uncultured bacterium. Its description in RNAcentral is "bacterial SSU rRNA". It matches the Rfam family "Bacterial small subunit ribosomal RNA", at positions 51 to 812 of the family's 1533-position model. The record is from RNAcentral.